GUCCACGCCGUAAACGAUGUCUACUAGCCGUUGGGCGACUUGAUCGCUUAGUGGCGCAGUUAACGCGAUAAGUAGACCGCCUGGGGAGUACGGCCGCAAGGUUAAAACUCAAAUGAAUUGACGGGGGCCCGCACAAGCGGUGGAGCAUGUGGUUUAAUUCGAUGCAACGCGAAGAACCUUACCAGGUCUUGACAUCCUAGGAAUCCUGCAGAGAUGCGGGAGUGCCUUCGGGAAUCUAGAGACAGGUGCUGCAUGGCUGUCGU
RNAcentral lists this ribosomal RNA (263 nucleotides) under uncultured bacterium. Its description in RNAcentral is "partial 16S ribosomal RNA". It matches the Rfam family "Bacterial small subunit ribosomal RNA", at positions 793 to 1055 of the family's 1533-position model. The record is from RNAcentral.